CCCCUUGGGGUGGGGUCAUGGGGCUGGUGGCUACAGAGUGAUACUGGACCACCUCCAGACUUCUAGAGGCUGCUGGGAAGAGGAAGGCGUCGGCGCCGACCCCCUGGGGUGGGGUCAUGGGGCUGGUGGCUACAGAGUGAUACUGAACCACCUCCAGACUCCUAGAGGCUGCUGGGAAGAGGAAGGCGUCGGCGCCGACCCCCUGGGGUGGGGUCAUGGGGCUGGUGGCUACAGAAUGGUGCUGAACCACCUCCAGACUCCUAGAGGCUGCUGGGAAGAGGAAGGCGUCGGCGCCGACCCCCUGGGGUGGGGUCAUGGGGCUGGUGGCUACAGAGUGAUACUGAACCACCUCCAGACUCCUAGAGGCUGCUGGGAAGAGGAAGGCGUCAGCGCUGAACCCUUGGGGUGGGGUCAUGGGGCUGGUGGCUACAGAAGGGUACUGGACAACCUCCAGACUCCUAGAGGCUGCUGGGAAGAGGAAGGCGUCGGCGCCGACCCCCUGGGGUGGGGUCAUGGGGCUGGUGGCUACAGAGUGGUGCUGAACCACCUCCAGACUAACCUGGGUCUGCAUGUGUUUUCUCUCAUUCUGCUCCUCUCUCUUCUUCUCUUUCUCUCUCUCUUUGUCUUUAUUUAUCUCUCCAUCUUUCUCUUCACCUAACUCCUUCUCUUUAUCUCUCUCUCCAUAUUUCUUUCUGACAUCCUCUAUCCCUCUCUUCCCCACUUUCUCUCUCUCCUCCUCCUUCUCCACGGAGAAUUCCCUGUGUUUCGAUGUGUUUAAGAAUGAGUCCUCCUCUGUUGCAUGGUCCUGUACUGAGGGGAAUAUUUGAACAGUGGGCGUUUCAAACUCAGCACGCCCUGUAAUCUGAGUGCUUUCCGCCACAGGGUGUGAGUCCAGCUGAACAGCAACAUCACCUGAGUCCACUGCUCUAAUAGCUGUGACAGGUAGGAUAGUUGUAUCUCCGUGCUCCAACGACUCCCCAUCCACCCCUACACCAAUCAUAGUGUGCACGUGAGGUUUUGGCUGACAGUCUUGAUUGACAGACUGGUGACUGCUAUCCAUACGAGGCUCCUCAGGGGCAGUGGUGAUGUCAGAGGUUCCUGUGCACACAGUGGUGAUGUCAGAGGUUCCUGUGCACACAGUGGCGAUGUCAGAGGUUCCUGUGCACACAGCGGCGAUGUCAGAGGUUCCUGUGCACACAGUGGUGAUGUCAGAGGUUCCUGUGCACACAGUGGCGAUGUCAGAGGUUCCUGUGCACACAGCGGCGAUGUCAGAGGUUCCUGUGCACACAGCGGUGAUGUCAGAGGUUCCUGUGCACACCGCGGCGAUGUCAGAGGUUCCUGUGCACACAGCGGUGAUGUCAGAGGUUCCUGUGCACACAGCGGCGAUGUCAGAGGUUCCUGUGCACACAGUGGCGAUGUCAGAGGUUCCUGUGCACACAGGGGUGAUGUCAGAGGUUCCUGUGCACACAGCGGCGAUGUCAGAGGUUCCUGUGCACACAG
RNAcentral lists this long non-coding RNA (1500 nucleotides) under Salmo salar (Atlantic salmon). Its description in RNAcentral is "lncRNA (ENSSSAG00000113058.1)". The record is from RNAcentral. Lineage: Eukaryota; Metazoa; Chordata; Actinopteri; Salmoniformes; Salmonidae.